AGGGGCUUAGGAUAAUAGUAGACCAAAGGCCUUCAAAGCCCUAAGUGGGAGUGAAAAUCUCUCAGCCCUUG
RNAcentral lists this transfer RNA (71 nucleotides) under Acanthaphritis unoorum. RNAcentral describes it as "tRNA-Trp". It matches the Rfam family "tRNA". Rfam says of the family: Transfer RNA (tRNA) molecules are approximately 80 nucleotides in length. Their secondary structure includes four short double-helical elements and three loops (D, anti-codon, and T loops). The record is from RNAcentral. Lineage: Eukaryota; Metazoa; Chordata; Actinopteri; Pempheriformes; Percophidae.